This 1177-nucleotide long non-coding RNA is filed under the name Ananas comosus (pineapple). RNAcentral describes it as "long non-coding RNA (ACOM_LNC039367)". Lineage: Eukaryota; Viridiplantae; Streptophyta; Magnoliopsida; Poales; Bromeliaceae. The record is from RNAcentral.
UCUAGCUAGCGAUCUCCUUGCCACGAUCCCGUGCCUCCGCCGGUGCAGAGGGCUCUGAAAAAGAGACAUGAAAUAGAGGGCGUGAGAACUAUUAAAUAAUAGUUCCCAGUGGGCGAUUACUGACUUCAGUGAAUGCACCACUAGGCCCAAAAACUGAAAAGAAAAGGGGUAAGUAACAAUAAAGGCAGUAAAGCGAAAUGUAAGUAAAAAUGUAACUUACUACGAUAUGAUAUCUCUACUUAGCAUGAAUGGCAUAAGUAUAAAAGCAACUAUACAUGAAGCAUAAGUCUACUACUAUCAUGAUGUCCAUAAGCUAAAUAGUAAAAUGUCAUUGUUUACUGUUCUAGUCCAAGUCCACUUGUCACUUUAAUAGUUUUAAAGUUCACAUAGCACGUCACUAAGUUCCAAUCAUAUAAGACCCACCCGAAGGCUGUCUGGCCUGCGCCGUGCCUAAUGGCCUCGUGGUAGUCAACAUCCCCACUCUAGGAAUGAGCCUCCCCCACGGCAUCCCAUUUCGGCGCCCAAACCCGCACGGGCGAGCAUAUGUCGCGAUGGCUAUCUCCGGAGUGCCGGCUUGUAGGGAGCGACCCUCACAAGCAUGUGCGAAUGAGCACAAUGGCAAGCAAACAAUGAUCUGUCCCAAGUACCAAGUCCUCAUGUCUAAAAACAUGGAAUAUAUCGAAUAUCUCAAUGGCCUAUCCCUAUGUCAUCAUGUCUCUAACAUGGAAUACAGCAGAUGUACAAUGGCCUAUUAAUAUGUCUCUAUGUUGCAGUUUCAUAGUUUACUAGUUUCGAGUGCCCCUUUAUGACACUUUGUCCUCUAUGUCCAAGCAUAAUAAGUAUGUUCCAAGGUACAUAUUUCAAGUCAUUAUCUUCAUAGGAGAUAUGUUAUCAACUUGCAAAAGUAAACACUUUUCCACAUGCAUGCAGUCUACUCAUAUAGCUCUACUAUUGUCACGCCCUGGGUCUCAGCGGAAGCCCGCCCAGCACGUGUCCAGACCCGCCAUACGUCUAAAACAUAUAAGGCGUCUAAAAACAGCAAUAAUAAAAGCAAUAAUAAUAGACAUCUAAGAGUAUCAGAGUAUGAGUAAAGUCUAAAUUCUACAUCAAGGUAAGAAGAGUAAAGCUGAAAUCCACUAAUAAAAGCAUAAAGUAAGUACAAUAAGAAUCCCAUAAC